RNAcentral lists this ribosomal RNA (253 nucleotides) under uncultured Lamproderma sp. RNAcentral's name for it is "partial 18S ribosomal RNA". It matches the Rfam family "Eukaryotic small subunit ribosomal RNA", at positions 28 to 248 of the family's 1831-position model. The record is from RNAcentral. Lineage: Eukaryota; Evosea; Eumycetozoa; Stemonitida.
AUGCUUCUCCUAAAGACUAAGCCAUGCAUGCCUUCGAAUAUGAGGAAGCAAUUCUCUCUGAAUCUGCGAACGGCUCCGCAAACCAGUUGUAAACCACAGCAAGCCCGCAAGGGUGGGCCUCGGCUCGCCUGCGCGAUACGGAUAACCCUGGUAAUUCUAAGGCUAAUACGUGUAUGGAACACCCGGUGGACCGGCCUUGUGCUGGGAAACCGGGAGGCGAGGGAUUGAAUGUUUGGAUUACCAGGAACGGGCG